RNAcentral lists this non-coding RNA (1652 nucleotides) under Pan troglodytes (chimpanzee). The record is from RNAcentral. Lineage: Eukaryota; Metazoa; Chordata; Mammalia; Primates; Hominidae.
AAUUUGGGAACGAGAUGCCCGGGGAUGCAACCAGCCCCGCGCUCGGAGGCGGCGGCCGGAGUUCCGUGCGCAGAGGGCACACAAAAGCCUUGAGGAUCAUUGCCUCGACCCCAUCCCCCACCGCGCGGCGACGCCCCCUACGGGCUGGGACACCUCCACCCUCGGACUGCUGCCUGGUUUCCCUCCGGCUGCGACCCUGGAGAAUUUGCCAUCUCCCUACCACCACCACCACACACAGCACCCUCAAGACUCCCUGUGAUCCUGGGAUGCACUAAACGAAGAGUGUGUGGCCCAGGAUUUGAUGGAAAUGCUACAAGAGAAGCAGGCUCUCCCCUUCUGAAAUGAUGAGUGAUAAUGACCAUACAGGUCAACUUUUCCACCACUUGGAGGGAGCCUGUCAAAGAACAAAGGCAACAGAGAAGAGAGCAGAGCUGAGGUUGGGUGAGAGGGAGAAAUGCCUGAGUGCUUGAAUCCCACAUGCCGGAAGCCGCACCACAUUUGGACUUCUCAAUACAGGAGCCACUGAGAAACCAAGUUAUGCUGAAGACCUGGAAAUCCCAGCAGGCUGCAAACCAGCUGCAACUACAAUGGGUCAGCCCUUUUGAGAUGCUGCUGACUACCCACUCAUCUGCCAGGUUAGCCAGUGUUAAGCCAUGGAUUCACCAUGCUCAGAUAAAACCUGUCCCUCUGGGAUCCCUCCAGAAAAAAACAGGCAUGCUUUUGUGAACCCUAAGAUGGCCUUAAGUUAAUAUUCAAUGCCCAGCCAAAGACCCUAAAUAAGAAGUCAUAAAGGGAACAUGUGCUUUUCAGGUACCAAUCACCCUCCAGAUCUAAGAAUGGCUUCAGGCUGGGGCUGCAGUCACCUCUUUGCCCAGCUUCUCCCCUGCCCUAUUCUGUUUCACUUGCAUCCUUAAAGGUUCCACCCAAGAGCUCUUCUACAAGAAAGCACCUAUAAAGCCAGACACAUUGGCUUAUGCCUAUAAUCCUAGCACUUUGGGAGGCCAAGGUAGGAGGAUGGCUUGAGGCCAGGAGUUCAAGACCAGCCUGGGCAACUUAGUGAGGCCCCGUCUCUAUAAAAAAUAAAAAAAUUAACCAGGUGUGGUGGUGCACGUCUCUAGUCUCAGCUACUCAGGAGGCUGUGGCAGGAAGAUGGCUUGAGCCCAGGAGGUCGAGGCUGCAGUGAACUAAGAUCAUGCCACUGCACCCAUCUUGGGCAACAGAAUGAGAUCCUGUCUCUAAAAAAAUAAAAACAAUUUACAACAGUAAGCACCUGUACACAAGCCCCAUCUCCAGUCCUGUUUCUAGGGCUUCCAAUUUAACACACCUAGAGGCUGGGCAUAGUAGCUCAUGCCUGUAAUCCCAAUACUUUGGGAGGCUGAGGCAAGUGAAGCACUUGAGGUCAGGAGUUCGAGACCAGCCUGGCCAACAUGGCAAAACCCCAUCUCUACUAAAAAUGCAAACAUUAGCUGGGCAUGGUGGCACAUGCCUGUAAUCCCAGCUACUCGGGAGGCUGAGACAGGAGAAUCACUUGAACCCAGGAGGUGGAGGUUACAGUGAGCCAAGAUCACACCACUGUACCACAGCCUGAGCAACAAAAGAAGACUCUGUCUAAAAAAAGUAAAAAAUAAAAUAAAACACACCUGGAGCUUUCU